GGGGGGGGGGGGGGGGGGGGGGGGGGGGGGCGGGGCGGGCGCGGGGGCGUGGGGCGUGCGCGGGGGGGGUGGGUGGCGGACGGGUGAGGAAUACGUGCGUGGCGUGCCCUUGACUCUGGGGUAAGCCUGGGAAACUGGGUCUACUACUGGAUACGACAUGCCACUGCCUGGUGGUGUGUGGCACGGUGUUUACUGGUUUUGGAUUGGCUCACGGCCUAUCAGCUUGUUGGUGGGGUAAUGGCCUACCAAGGCGACGACGGGUAGCCGGCCUGAGAGGGUGACCGGCCACACUGGGACUGAGACACGGCCCAGACUCCUACGGGAGGCAGCAGUGGGGAAUAUUGCACAAUGGGCGGAAGCCUGAUGCAGCGACGCCGCGUGAGGGAUGACGGCCUUCGGGUUGUAAACCUCUUUCAGCACGGAAGAAGCGAGAGUGACGGUACGUGCAGAAGAAGCGCCGGCUAACUACGUG
This 472-nucleotide ribosomal RNA is filed under the name uncultured bacterium. RNAcentral's name for it is "partial 16S ribosomal RNA". It matches the Rfam family "Bacterial small subunit ribosomal RNA", at positions 39 to 507 of the family's 1533-position model. The record is from RNAcentral.